GAUGAACGCUGGCGGCAUGCCUAAAACAUGCAAGUCGAGCGGUAAGGCCCCUUCGGGGGUACACGAGCGGCGGACGGGUGAGUAACGCGUGGGAAUCUACCCAAACUGAGGAUAAGCAUUGGAAACGAUGUCUAAUACCGCAUAUGGUCUUCGGAUUAAAGCUUCGGCGGUUUGGGAAGAGCCGCGUAAGAUUAGCUAGUUGGUGAGGUAAAGGCUCACCAAGGCGACGAUCUUUGACUGGUUUGAGAGGAUGAUCAGUCACACUGGAACUGAGACACGGUCCAGACUCCUACGGAGGCAGCAGUU
RNAcentral lists this ribosomal RNA (306 nucleotides) under uncultured bacterium. RNAcentral's name for it is "bacterial SSU rRNA". It matches the Rfam family "Bacterial small subunit ribosomal RNA", at positions 28 to 356 of the family's 1533-position model. The record is from RNAcentral.